GUACAAGUGGUCUGCGGUAAAGGCGUUCUCCUUCAUCAAGGUCCGGCUGGACCUUCCUCAAAGAGAAAGAUGCAAGUUCAAAUCUUGCCUUGUGCA
RNAcentral lists this transfer RNA (96 nucleotides) under Achromobacter spanius. Its description in RNAcentral is "tRNA-OTHER". It matches the Rfam family "tRNA". Rfam says of the family: Transfer RNA (tRNA) molecules are approximately 80 nucleotides in length. Their secondary structure includes four short double-helical elements and three loops (D, anti-codon, and T loops). Further hydrogen bonds mediate the characteristic L-shaped molecular structure. tRNAs have two regions of fundamental functional importance: the anti-codon, which is responsible for specific mRNA codon recognition, and the 3' end, to which the tRNAs corresponding amino acid is attached (by aminoacyl-tRNA synthetases). tRNAs cope with the degeneracy of the genetic code in two manners: having more than one tRNA (with a specific anti-codon) for a particular amino acid; and 'wobble' base-pairing, i.e. permitting non-standard base-pairing at the 3rd anti-codon position. Lineage: Bacteria; Pseudomonadati; Pseudomonadota; Betaproteobacteria; Burkholderiales; Alcaligenaceae. The record is from RNAcentral. RNAcentral also lists the same sequence under 1 other name.